Non-coding RNA from Pelobates cultripes (western spadefoot toad), 22107 nucleotides. The record is from the annotation of a GenBank genome assembly. NCBI's taxonomy places the organism in Eukaryota, Metazoa, Chordata, Amphibia, Anura, Pelobatidae.
GGGUUACGGAGAUAGCAGCAGCAGCGGCGGCUGUGGGGGCGGCGCAGUGUCCGGAGCUGAGUGCUCGGUUUAGCCGUGUCCCCGGUAUGGCAGCGGAGCGCAGAGCACAGGUGAGCCGAGGCGGCAUUACAGCAGGGUCCAUGUCCAUCCCAGUGCCAGCCUAGUACAGCACGGUGACCGGCUUCUACCACACUGACAGUGAUAUCUGCACAGAGUACACAGCAUUGUGCUGCCAGCCUAGUUAUUAUUAUAGCACUGCCAGCCUAGUUACUAUUAUUAUAGCACUGCCAGCCUAGUUAUUAUUAUAGCACUGCCAGCCUAGUUAUUAUUAUAGCACUGCCAGGCUGGUUAUUAUUAUAGCACUGCCAGCCUAGUUACUAUUAUUAUAGCACUGCCAGCCUAGAUACUAUUAUUAUAGCACUGCCAGCCUAGAUACUAUUAUAGCACUGCCAGCCUAGUUAUUAUUAUAGCACUGCCAGGCUGGCACUGCCAGCCUAGUUAUUUAUAGCACUGCCAGCCUAGUUUAUUAUAGCACUGCCAGCCUAGCACUGCCAGCCUAGUUAUUAUUAUAGCACUGCCAGCCUAGUUACUAUUAUUAUAGCACUGCCAGCCUAGUUACUAUUAUAGCACUGCCAGCCUAGCACUGCCAGCCUAGUUUAUUAUAGCACUGCCAGCCUGGUUAUUAUUAUAGCACUGCCAGCCUAGUUACUAUUAUUAUAGCACUGCCAGCCUAGUUACUAUUAUUAUAGCACUGCCAGCCUAGUUACUAUUAUCAUAGCACUGCCAGCCUAUACUAUUAUAGCACUGCCAGCCUAGUUAUUAUUAUAGCACUGCCAGGCUGGUUAUUAUUAUAGCACUGCCAGCCUAGUUAUUAUUAUAGCACUGCCAGCCUAGUUAUUAUUAUAGCACUGCCAGCCUAGUUACUAUUAUUAUAGCACUGCCAGCCUAGUUACUAUUAUAGCACUGCCAGCCUAGUUACCUAGUGCCAGCCUAGUUUAUUAUAGCACUGCCAGGCUGGUUAUUAUUAUAGCACUGCCAGCCUAGUUACUAUUAUAGCACUGCCAGCCUAGUUACUAUUAUUAUACUGCCAGCCUAGAUACUAUUAUAGCACAGUGCCAGCCUAGUUAUUAUUAUAGCACUGCCAGGCUGGUUAUUAUUAUAGCACUGCCAGCCUAGUUAUUAUUAUAGCACUAGCCUACUUACUAUUAUAGCACUGCCAGCCUAGUUAUUAUUAUAGCACUGCCAGGCUGGUUACUAUUAUAGCACUGCCAGCCUAGUUACUAUUAUAGCACUGCCAGCCUACUUACUAUUAUAGCACUACCAGACAACUUAUUAUAAUAGCACUGCCAGGCUGGUUAUUAUAGCACUGCCAGACUACUUAUUAUAGCUCUGCCAGGCUGGUUAUUAUAGCUCUGCCAGGCUGGUUAUUAUAGCUCUGCCAGGCUGGUUAUUAUAGCACUGCCAGGCUAGUUAUUAUAGCACGGCCAGCCUAGUUAUUAUAGCAAUGCCAGACUAGUUAUUAUAGCACUGGCUGACUAGUUAUAAUAGCAAUGCCAGCCAUGCCAGUUCCCAUACAGUGCUAGUUUUAUCAUCUCUGUCCCCAUACAGUGCUAGUUAUAUCAUUAGUUCCCAUACAGUGCUAGUUUAUCUCUGUUCCCAUACAGUGCUAGUUAUAUUAUCCCAUACAGUGCUAGUUAUAUCUCUGUUCCCAUACAGUGCUAGUUAUAUCAUCAUCUCUGUUCCCAUACAGUGCUAUUUACAUUAUAAUCUCUGUUCUCAGACAGUGCUAGUUAUAUCAUCAUCCCUGUACUCAUACAGGGCUAGUUACAUCAUCUACUGUGUUCUAAUACAGUGCUAGUUACAUCAUCUCUGUUCUCAUACAGUGCUAGUUAUAUCAUCGUCAUCUGUUCUAAUACAGUGCUAGUUACUACAUCAUCAUCAUCUUUGUUCUAAUACAGUGCUGGUUAGAUCAUCAUCAUCUGUCUUCUAAUACAGUGCUAGUUGAUAAUCAUCUGUGUUCUAAAUGCACUGCUGUCUGUUUUACUAUUGCAUUGCCAGUUAUGUCACAGUUCUCUUUACAACUGCACUGUAGGUUAACCUUGGCCUGCGCAGUACAACUGCAUUGCUAGUUACCAUAUUAUAUAUUUGUCAUAGGACUGUCAUGCUAGAUCCCAUCCUAAAUUACACAGAUGAGGGCCGAGAUGGCAUUGUGUUAUACAGAUACAUUGCUAGUUCUCACCUUUCUGUAAAUUUGCCAUUUGAUAUAUAUGUGUGCAAUUUUAGAUCGCAAUUCACUUAUGUUUUAUCUGUGACCUUUUAGUUUUGUCACCUUCUGCUAGUGCUUUACAAUUGUGACGCUAGUUAUCCUCUCCUGCUUGGGCUAGGCAGACUGGAUUUACAUGUCAAAUGUCUAUAGGCACACAAUUCAGCUCUUUAGCAAAUGGAAAGACGAGGGAACAGAAAGAUCCUUGCUAGAUCACAGACUUUGAGGUUAAACCGUUAACUUAAAGGGACACUCCAAUGCCAGGAAAACAAUCCGUUUUCCUGGCACUGCAGGUUCCCUCUCCCUCCCACCUCCCACCUCCCAUCCCCGGUUGCUGAAGGGGUUAAAACCCCUUCAGGCACUUACCAGAGUCAGCGACAUGUCCCAAGUCGCUGCUUCUUCCUCUGCCCCCACUCCUCCCCUUCAUUAUGUCAGCUGGCGGGGGAGACUGAUCCUGCCCGGCGGCUGGGGAGACCUAAUGCGCAUGCAGAGAUUUUAGCGACGCUGGAGGUCCUCACAAAACCUGUGCUAUGGACUAGAAAGUGCCCUCUAGUGUCUGUCUAGUAGACAGCCACUAGAGGAGGAGUUAACCCUGCAAUGUAAAUAUUGCAGUUAAUGAAAACUGCAAUAAUUACAGUUGCAGGGUUAAGGGUAGUGGGAGUUGGCACCCAGACCACUCCAAUGGGCAGAAGUGGUCUGGGUGCCUGGAGUGUCCCUUUAAAAGUUGAUCCAGGGACCUCCUGGCAUCAAAACAAUGUAGUUUAGAUGAAGUUGUUAUGGUGCACAGAGUGUUCCUUUAAGCUCCAGAAAUGACAUGGCAAUGGGGAAUGAAGCCCAGGUGCUAUGCAUUAAAGCCACCGUAUUCUUUGCCUGAAUAUUAUACUAUUACACACUAAGUUACCACUAUGUCUACUUGUUUUCCCUCUGCAGUCUGUUAUCUAAUCUCCUGCUUUCAUAUCUUGCACUUUCACUACCUUAUCUCUCAGUUAAUAAUUUUAUCUUGUUUACAUGUGCCCUGUCAUACUUCUGACUCCUUUUAUUUUUAUUUAUUUAUUAAAUUAAUGAGCAUUUUUCAGAAUUUUAAAAACUGUAAUCUAGCCACAAUAGGUAUUUUGCCUUCCCCGGUGUUUGACAACAUGGUGUUUGCUUUUGGGGCCUGUUGCAGCAGAGGUUGUGUUAAAGGUUUGGGCCGUAAUGCCUGUCUUAAAAACUUGCAUUGGCAUCACAACAAAUUUUCCGUGUAAUUACCUUUUUUUUUUUUUUUUUCUCUUCAAAACACAAGGAGAAAUAGUUUUAACAUUUUAUUUUAUGACACCUCUGCAUGCUCUGCAGGCUGGGACAAGUGUUACAUUCAGUGUAUACCUGUCUGUACUGCUCUGCAUGCUAGGACUGUUAUAGUGUAUGCUGACAGGUCCUGACAAUAGUAGUGUUUGUACAGCUCAGUAAAUUUCCUACAUUCUUUAAAGAAUAACCUGCCAGGUAAGCUGCUGUUUUUCACAAAACACACGCCUCGGAAUUGCACUACACUGCACAAGCCGAAGACACUUGUGAGUAUAGAUCUACGUAUUCAUGUUUUUUUGUUUGUGUUUUUGCUAAUUAAUAUGUGACACUGGGGAAGAUAUAUUUUAAAAAAAAUGUCGUGGACAGUUUUACAAUUUAUUAAUUAUGCUGAAUUUUUUUAACCGUGUUCCUUUUCUUGUUUCCUAAAUGCCAUUUUUUAUUUUUUGAAUGUGCAUCUGUUUUGGACAAAACUAAGGAUUUAUCACUAUUUCAGUUACAUUUUACCCUGAACUCUUUUCUGAUAACUUGACAGCUGUUUUGGAAAUUAUUCUGUCUUGGUACACAAGGGGGGAAUUAGGUGGAGAAAAGUCAACCCCUCUUAGAACAUUUUUAGAACAAUUUUCAUGAGUACCGUACAUUUGUGUGGGGAAGAGAGGGGUGGCAGAGGUAGUUUUGCUUUGUUUUGUUUUUUUGUUUGUUUUUUACCAUCUUACAAAAAAGAAAAUGGUGGGAGGAGGGUAGUGUUUGUUUGCCAAGUGGCUGAGCCUCAUGAGCCUUAUAUUCCAUAACAAAAAGGGUGCCACCGUUUUUCUGUCUCUCCAGUCUUGUUCUGUCUGUGUUUUAACUGAGAAUAUACUCACAACCUCAGCUUGUGUGGGGUUGUUUUUAUUUUUAUUUUUUGUGUUUUUUUUUUUUUACUUAGUAAACAUGUUUUUGACUUCCCUUUAAAUAACACAGGGCUUAUAAAGGUUUCUUACCAGACUAGUUUAGCUAGCAACACAUUGACACAGAUCUAAGUUGCUCCUUUACCUAAUAUAGCUCAUAUGAUCUUAUACAUGUUAAUAUUUAAUUUGCUACAUAUUUCUGUUUUGUGUGUGUGUGUGGUUUUUUUUUGGUUUUUUUUUUUUCUAGUUUGUGUUUAAAAGUCAAUCAAGAGCAAGUAUGGGUAUAUUUCUAAGUCAUGCCCUUUGCACACCGAAUCUGUUCUUGUUUCUUUUCUUAAAGGAAUAAUUUAGUUUUAGGAAUACAAACAUGCAUUCCUAACACUGUAGUGCUGGACUAUCUAUUUAGGUGACCAACUCCCCCACAGAAUGAAGUAAAAAGGUAUUUUACUUACCUUUUCUCCAUCACAACACUGGACUUGCCACAGCUGACCUGUCUCCAUGGCUGCGAUCAUCAGUCUUGAUGAUCUCAACCAAUCCAAUGCUUUCCUGUAGGGUGGAUAUUGCGCAUGUGCAGCAAAAUAUCACACUACACAAAUCAACAUCUCCCCAUAGAGUGAAUAAGGAGCUUUCAGCAUCUCCAUGCAGAGCGUGGAGAUACUAAACAUAGGUCCUGUAAUCAUGAAGUCCCUCUAAUGAUUUCCACUAGAGGUGUUACUAGGCAGCAAUGUAAAAACAUUGCAUUUUCUCUGACAAGGCAGUGUUCCCAAUGCCGAGACUGCAGGGACAGGCUAUAGACACCAUAACAACUACAUUAAGCUCUAGUGGUUCUGGUGACUAUAAUGUCCCUUGAAGAUACAUAAGGCAAAGUGAGGACUACAUUUGCUUAUGUAUUUUUAUCUGAUUGACAAAACUUGAAAAGCUCCUCUUCCUUUAAGUCCAAAUUUCAUUGUUUUGCACAUAAAACUUAACAUUUAAAACCAGGGGUGUGAGACUUCAGCCCCCCAAAAUUAUUGGACUGCAAUUUCCAUAGCACUCUGUCAGACUAUAGCUGCAAGAGAAUAAGAGCUUCUAGUUUAAAAAAAAAAAAAAAAAAGAUAAUGUGAUGGGAUUUCAGCUAGGCCAAAAUUUUUGUAUGGAUAGACCUGUAUCCCGACUCUCUGUGCGUAGCUUCUUCCCAGUUCCCCUGUAACAUAUCUAGUGCAUUGGCCGAGAAGUCAUCGCAGAGACCGCCGAGACGGUAACAUUUUUUACCCACCUGUCCACGGCAACAACCCUGGACCGAUUACUGCGUGGACCUCCUUUCGUCUCGGCACCAUUGGGCCUUCUUUGUCCAUAGGCUUCUGCUCAGUGGGUAUUGGGGUGUCCCGUCAAUGAAUUCCAAUCCCGGGUCUAGGAACUGAAGGUAAACCAAAUAGGGAUUAAAUCUGUAUCUGACCUUUUCCCACUGGAAAGAAGAGGUGGCUGAUCACCUAAUUAAGCUAAAAGCUCUGUAGCUAGCCCAUUUAGCAUAGGGUCUGUUUGUCCGGCUGAAUUCUGGUGUAUAUAUGUUCAGUCGGUUUCUGGACUAGUUGAACUUUGUUGUAAAUUCCGUUCACUAGAUCGCAGGUUCUGGAGCAAGUAGACUAGCCGAAUUCUGUUGUAAAUUCCGUUUGCUAGAUCUCGAAGUAUGUUCUUAUUCUGGUUUCUGGACCAUGCUGGUCAUGUGUAGGUUGGGCAACCUGGGGAAAAACAGUAGAACAAGACCUGAUAAUUCAGAGGUUACCUACUACUUCUCAUCGUAAAUCAAUAGAGUGUAAUCUUGUACACAUGACAAUAUCUAACCCCCAGCAAUUCAUUAAUAAGUUUGGGAAUCUUUUCGGUUUCCAAAUAUAUGGUACAGGGACAGACCCAGGAGCCAUUAUAUAAAAUAUACCUUGAAACCAAGACCCUGAAUGCCCAAACUCAUCAGGUAUUCCAUUCCUUGUAUGAGAAGAUGAGUGUUGAAGAUGAAGUUCCCCCACACUGUUAAAAACCUGUUAAUUGAUCUGGCUGAGAGUAUUGCAAGUAGUCUUAAUAUAACUAACUGCUUUGUAUGUGGAGAUGCAAAUAUGGGAGACCAAUGGCCAUUGGAAGCGAGAGAAGUAUGGUACCCUGGUUUUGAGACAAAUGAGCAACAGAUGCCUUCCCACCCCAGUAAUCAAGCAACCAUACGGGAAAAAUCUCUCCACUACACACACACAUAUUCUUGAAAACCUAAAAAAUUCUGUCUGGCAUGUAUAUUUUGUGCAUUUACUUUAAUAAAAAAAAAAAUAUAAUAAUGAUAAACAUGUUCAGUUGACGGUAGAUUUGUGUAGAAAUUUUCUUUGUACAAAACGGUAAAUGUACAGAAUAUCGGUAUCUGUAAAUUAUCAGCUAACGGCCUGAAAGUUCACAGAUUAUCGGUAUCUGUAUUGGCUCUAAAAAAUCAAUAUCGGUCGAUCCCUAAUAUAGAUAUGUAUUAGUAUGCAGAACAGAAAAAUGCUGGGCCCAAUCCCUCACUGGAAUGUACACCAACCGCUUUUAGCAGACUAAAAUAUUGCUCAGCAUAUUUGUGUAUUAGUAAAACUAGGGCAACAGUGAAUAAAUUAAGUAAAGUAACGAAAGGACUUUAUUUUUUAUAAUUUUUAAAUUAAAUACCUGUAAAUAAGUGUGUGUGUGUGUGUGUGUGUGUGUGUGUGUGUGUGUGUGUGUGUAUGUAUGUAUGUAUGUAUAUAAUAUAAUAUCUCUCUCUCUCAAGGACUCAUCUAAACAUGCAUACAUCAUAGGGUGCGGGCAGUGGGCUGCUAGAGUAGGACCUAGGUUACAUUGACACUGUGGCAGGCUUAAGCAAUGUAGAAUCAUAUACUGUAACUAAACCCCCAUUUUUUUUUUUGCCUAGGUGAGGUGUUUUUAAAUAAAACGAUUACAUUCUGUGAGCCUUAAAAUCAUUGUUUAGUGAAUGAGUGCGUGUGCUGGGUUGUGUAUUUUGAACGUUUAUAUCUAUAUUUAUUUUUUACGUUUUAUCUUUUCAAGUAAUAGUGGCACAUUUUGAAAAAAACAUGUACAUUCUGUACUUUAAAGGACCACUAUAGUGCCAGGAAAACAUACUCGUUUUCCUGGCACUAUAAUGCCCUGAGGGUGCCCCCACCCUCAGGGUCCCCCUCCCGCCGGGCUCUAGGGGGAGGAAGGGGUUAAAUUUACCUCUUUCUCCAGUGCCGGGCGGGGACGCUCCUCCUCCUUGGCUGAAGCCGCACGCACAUUCAGCCGGUCCAUAGGAAAGCAUUCACAAUGCUUUCCUAUGGACGCUGGCGUCUUCUCGCUGUGAAAAUCAGUGAGAAGCGCCUCUAGCGGCUGUCAAUGAGACAGCCACUAGAGGCUGGAUUAACCAUAUUAUAAACAUAGCAGUUUCUCUGAAACUGCUAUGUUUAUAGAAAAAAGGGUUAAACCUAACUGGACCUGGCACCCAUACCACUUCAUUAAGCUAAAGUGGUCUGGGUGCCUAUAGUGGUCCUUUUAAAAACUAAAAUCAAAUUGGUCAAAUACCCUAAUGAUGAAUAUAUUUGUGAAAAAAUUGAAUGCAUGAUAUUUGUGCGUGCACAGGAUAUAGACGGCUUUGACAUUUAUCUUUGGUCUUGGAAUUAUGUUAUCACCAACAUAUGGACUUGGCUUGGUGUGUUUAGACCGCAUCAGGGGUGCACGCUGUCAGCUGGACAAAUCAGGAUUUAUAACACUUUCACUUUGCGACUACAUUUAAAUUUGUCUCCAUCCAUCAUGACGGUGGUAAAUGUAUAUGUUUUGUAGGUUCAUCAAAGAGCUUAUGGGAGAAAUAGAAAUUAUUUACAUUUAAAGGGACACUAUAGUCGCCAGAACAACUACAGCUUAUUGCAUUUGUUCUGGUGAGUAGAAUCAUUACCUUCAGGCUUUUUGCUGUAAACAUGGUCUCUUCAGAGAAAAUGCAGCGUUUACAUUACAGCCUAGUGAUAACUUCACUGGCUACUCCUCAGAUGGCUGUUAGAGAUCCUUCCUGGGUCAUGGCUGCCUAAAAUGCAUCCAAACAUUCAGUAUCUCUUCCCUCUGAAUGCAGACACUGAACUUUCCUCAUAGAGAUUCAUUGAUUCAAUUCAUCUCUAUGAAGAGAUGCUGAUUGGCCAGGGCUGUGUUUGAAUCAUGCUGGCUCUGCCCCUGAUCUGCCUCUUUGUCAGUCUCAGUCAAUCCUAUGGGGAAGCAUUGUGAUUGGAUCAGGCUACCACUUCUGAUGAUGUCAGUGGGCAGGUCUAAAGGAAACAGAGCCAGAGCUAGCAGCUCCAGACUUGAAUACAAGUAAGAUUUUGCUAUUUUAGGGAGGCAUGAGGGGACUAGGGGGGACUAGAUGGUGGUUUUAACCCUUUAGGGUCAGGAAUACAUGUUUGUGUUCCUGACCCUAUAGUGCUCCUUUAACCCCUUAAGGACCAAACUUCUGGAAUAAAAGGGAAUCAUGACAUGUCACACAUGUCAUGUGUCCUUAAGGGGUUAAUAAUAUAUAAAAAGAAAAAAAAUCUUUCAAUUUUUUUUUUUUUUUUUUUCAGUUUUGGCAAUAAGAACAUGCAUAAUUAGAAAAGUAAUUCAAAAUAAAUAUGAUGUACUCUGUAAAUCAGGACAACUAAGCACAUGUCUAAGAUUUCAGUUUAUUUUUGGCAAUUGCAGGUCACAAAAUACAAGUAAACAAAAAUGUGUUUGUCUUCUAAGAUUAAAAGCCAUCACAGAAAACAAAAUUGCCACACAAAAGUAUAUUUUUAUAUAAAGCAGACAUCAUAAACUAUUUAUUUAAAGGGACACUGCAACUACAGCUUAAUGUAGUUGUUCUGGUAGUAUAGUCAGUCCUGUAGGAUUUUUGCAGUAAACACUGCCUUUUCAGAGAAAGCCUAGGGACACUUCCAGUGGCUACUCCUUAGAUGGCUACUAGAGGUGCUUCCUGGGGCAGUGCUGCACAAUGUGCACAGACGUGUGCAUUCAGUGCAUCUCUAUAAAGGAGAUGUUGUUUGGCCCUGCCUCCUUGGCAAUCUCAGCCAAUUCAAUGCUUUCCCUGUGGGUGGUAAGUGUUAACCCUUUCUAAGAAGGCAAUGGGGGGCAAGCCUAAAUGGUUUUAAGACUAUAGGGUCAGGAAUACAUGUUUGAUGUAGAUAUAGGCAUUUAAAUGUCUCUAAGGAGCUACAUUCUGUGCUGACUCCCAGCACUGCAUGCAGCUCAUCAAAAUGUAUGUGGCUGCUAAAAAUAGUGCCACCUGAUAGAGGUGAGACCCAGAUGUCCAUUGAUACCUGGGACUACCUGGUGUGAGCAGGAAUUUAACCCUGCUCGCACCGCAUUGUAACAAUGGGGAUUAAAAUGCCUGUUUGCAACGCUCAUUUUGAGCUUUGCAAAGAGAGCAUUGGUCAGUCUAGGUCUACUCAUUCUGAUCCCAGGUGAGAGAGAGGUGAACCCCAGGGAUCAAAUGAUAACUGUCCCUGCUGAAAAAUACUACAUGAUUGAAAUUUUAAAGAAGUCGGCACUUUUUUUAGUGCCAUAAUACCCUUCUUUAGAACAGGUACCCAAAAUUGCAUGCAAAAGUUCACAUUCAUGGUGAGGUCUUGCCAUUAAUUUAUAAAGAGGCAUAAUUAUAUUUUUGUCCCAGGUAAUAAUGUCCUUUUGUAUACAUGACAAUACCUUACUGACCUUAACAACUGCUGAUUGACAUUGCACAUUGUUGUCUAGUUAGAGGUGCAUAACUGUUACCAAAUCCUUUUCAUGUGUUACUCCCUAAAUUUGUAGUAAAUCUCUCCCCCCUCUCUUAGAUAAAUGUCACCAAAUGUAAUGUAAAAUAUAUAUAAUCUCUCUCUCAAUCAUUUCAUCUGGUGUUCGGGUGCCCAGUCUCCUUAUUUAUAUUAAUCUCUCUGAAGGAAACUAAUAUCCUGCUCACAUUGUAUUGCCUUACCUAGUUCCAUGUCGUAUUGCAAACACGAGCACCUGACUUUCAUUUCCUCUUUCAAGAUCAUUUAUAAAUAGAUUGAAUAGAAGUUGUCCCAGAACAGACCCCCGAGGGACAACACUUAACACUGUGUCCAGCUUGAAAAUGCACAAUUAUUGACAACUCUUUGUACUCUUAUCUGUAAGCCAAUAUUUUAUCCAUAAAUAAAGAUUUUCACCUAGACCAAUUUCUUUUAAUUUGACUACUAACUUUAUUGUGGAAUCGUUUUUAAACGCCUGGGGAAAAUCCAAGUAGAUCACAUCCACUGCAGCACUCUGAUUUACACUAUUACCGUAUAUACUCGAGUAUAAGCCGAGUUUUUCAGCACAUUUUUUGUGCUGAAAAACCCCAACUCGGCUUAUACUCGAGUCAGUCUGUAUUAUGGCAAUUUACAUUACUUAUAUGUAAUACGGAAACAAGCUAUUGAAGUAUUUACUUACACCUCUACCUGCAGCUCCUGCCAGCUCUCUCUCUCAGCGUUAUGCAGCUUCUCUCAGCUCACUGUAGUCGCGGUACGCAUGUUGCUUGGCUCAACUUACACUGGGGGCGGCAAUGCUGCCGGACAGCUUGUGGGGCGGCACGAGAGCACGGGAAGCCUUCCACUGUUUGCCAGCGUACUGCUGGACCUGCAGGGAGGCCCCUCCUGCCACAUCAAGCAGGAGGGGACAAAUAAUAAUAUAGCGUAUUAAAAUAUGUAAAUAAAAUAAUAACAAAAUAUUAAUAAACAAAAAGUAUUAAAAAAUAAUUAAAAUAAUAAUAUGCAUACUUUUAAGGCUCUGCAACACACAAACACACAUACUCUAAGCACACACGCAGUGCAUUAUACACACUGUAAAUAAAUAUUUAAUUAAUACAUAAUUUUUUUAGGAUCUAAUUUUAUUUAGAAAUUUUGUGCAUUUACACCCUAGUCUUAUACUUUCAGUCAACUAAGUUUUGAUUUUUUUGGGGAGUGGAAAUUAGGAGCCUAAAACCUCAGGAUUCGUAUACUUUUCGGUAUAUCAUUUUCCAUUUUAAUUUAGUGAUCCAUGUUUCAUAAAAUCAUGCUGAUAUCUGUUAAUUAUGUUGUUAUUCCAAAGGAAUUCCUGACUAUCCUUUAAUAGCCAUUCAAUUAUUUUCCACAACCACCAAAGUUAAGCUCAUAUGAGUAUACUUUUCAGGGAAAGAUUUUGAACUAUUUUUGAAUAUUGGAAACACAUCUGCAAACUUCCAAAAAAGUUAGGUUAUUUGCAUACUUGGCUCCCUAAGUACUCAUGAGUGAAUACCAUCAAGCCAUGGGGCUUUAUUUAGUUUUAACUUUCUUUGUUGAUGCAGAAUCUUGUCUUGAAUAAACCAAUCACAAUUGAUAAAAAAAAUAAAAAAAAGUCACAAUUGUGUUUUUCUUAUUUGCUCAUUGUAUCUUUCCUAUAAUACAUAUGACAACAUAAUGGCGGGGACUAAAGCAAUAAAGUGACACAUGAAUAUGAUCAGAAAAGUAUUAUGUUUUAUAUACCACGUUUCUGAUAAACGUCUAUUAAUGUCAAAUGUUAAUCCCUUUUCUAUUUUUUUUAGUACAUUAUAUUAAUUGAAACCGAAUUCUGACCAUAAUCUUUUAUCCAAAGAGACACAAUUAAACUAUGGAUUAAACUAUUAAUUAUGAAAAAUCUGUUAUUCAUAAUUCCUGGAAUAUUUAUUUUUGUGUGUGUGUGUGUUUUUGUGCUUGUUUUUAAGUCACUGUAUUGUAACCAAUUAUCCUGGAGUAUGUCCAGUAGAGGACAAUGAUACCCAUUCAAAUCCUAGCAGUAACUUUGAACAAAGACGGUUUUAUCAUGGGGCUUUUUCUCCCACAGUCCCCAGUUUGAGGAGCAGCGACGGAUCUGCAUGUUUUCAAAAACUAUUUCUAAAGAAAGGUUUUUGUUUUACUAUUUAGGUUUGCUGAAUUUGCUUGGAUUUCCCAUUUUGUUUGGUUAUUUGAAAAAAAAAAAAGAGAGAGAAGAAAUUGACUAUGAUAACGAUCUGUGUGUAAUUGGCACCUUGAUGAAAUGUACAGCACAACAAGCAGAUGAAGGCUGGCUUGCUGCUUGGUUACAAGUUAAAUUUUUUUUUUUUUUUUCUGGCAUUGUUUCCUUUCUGUAAGUGGGAGGCUGUGUAUCACCAUGCAUGGUAAUCUGUAUGUUAAGUGUCACGCCGCAGGUGGGAAGAUGGUACAGAAACAAAAGCAAAAUGUGUCCUCGAAUUGCUUGGUGUACUAUAUCCACGUUGACCUAUUAUUAGAAAUGUGACAUUUUAUUAUGAACUCUUUUGAAUUUGAGCAUAUUAGUUAAUUGGGCUAGUGAAUAUAAGGCAAACCAGUUCUAUAUUGUCUGUAUCUGUGAGUGUGUACAAACGUAUUACUAUAUUGAGCACUAAAUAAUUAAUUAUUUUGAUGCGUCUGUUUUUGUUUCUUCUUAGCCAUUGUUCUGUAGUUUUUUAGUGAUUUAGAACUUUAAUGAAUUGUCAGUCACUGUGAAGUUUAGAAUGAUCACAGCUGUCGGAAAUCUGGCAGCACAGUCCGGAUUUGCCAACACUUUCCCUCCUUUUUGAAUUCUCUUGCCUGGUGUCCUGCUUUUUGGGAAUUUGGUGAAAAGAUUUCAAAAAGUAAAACAGCUGUGUACCAUUAAUACGUUUCAACCAAUGCAUGAUAUUUCUGUCCACAUAGCAGCAAUUUAUACCCUGACCAGUCCUGGCUGCCGUGUUUGCAAGGAAUAGCUAACUAUCAAAGCCAAGAGUGCUAAGGUUCAAUGCUCCUAUUCAGUCUGCCUCUUGUCAAUAGGGAUGUUCCCACACUCCAGCUCUGACCCACCUGUAAUGAUCUCAUACCCUUUUUUGUUUGUUUGUUUGUUUGUUUUUUUGUUUUUCUAACCCCUUAAGGACCAAACUUCUGGAAUAAAAGGGAAUCAUGACAUGUCCUGUGUCCUUAAGGGGUUAAAUAUUUAUAUCGGCUCUAAAGCAGUGGUUACACAAUUUGGGAAACCUAGAUUCGACUUUCAGUCAGACCACUUUACCAGUAAGUGUCCUUGGUCAAGACACCAAACAAUGUAUAUUCACCUACCUUCAUAAAUUGUAAGCUCAUUUGAACAGGGCCUUCUUUACGUCUAAAUUUUCCAUAAAAGUGUUGCGGAAAAUGUUGGUGCUAUAUAAAUGCUAAUAAUGAUAAAAUUUUAUUCUCUCCGCUGAAUAUAUAAUGCUCUAAAUCAAGGUCCUUUUGUAAAGUCUAGCUUCAUGGCCGUAGAAUGAGCUAAAUAUGAUGUGGCGAAACCGACCUUGCCACUGAGCUUUGGAGAAGCCUGUUUGCCUGCCUGCUGACUAUGGCCCCUGGGAGAUUUGGCCCUUUAAAUACAGUAUUUGGGCAUAUUGUAUUUUAUUAUGCUGCUCGUGGCCCUUUAAGAACCAUUUGGGGACCUACUGUGACUUUUGGGAACAAUGCCCCUUUAAGACUGUGUCUCCUGCCCCCCUAAUAUACUUUGUUUGUGCCCUUUUCCCACUUGGUUCAGUAAAUGGGGCUUACUGAAUCAAGUACCACACAGGCGGACUACCCAGAACUGGAAGCGUGCAGGCAAUUUACCUCCCAGGCUGGGAAUCUGCUGUAGGUAAAUUGCAGACCGCUGGGUGGCCACCGUUCGCACAAACGAACGCGUGGCGGCGCCAUCAUUUUUUUUUUUUUUUUUUUUCAUUCAAAUGCGGUCAGCGGUGUGUGGAGCCAAAUUCAUGGAACUGAAAUCGGCUACACAGUUCCACGAACACCGCUGACCCUUCCCUUCUCUUACACUGAAUUUUUUCAGUGUGAAAUAGACCGACCGCAUAGCCCAAAUCUAUGGAAUUGUUUUGGACAUGAAAAUGUGCUUGCGGUCAUAAAAGGACAUCCAGCUAACUUUUUAACCCCUGGAUGGAAUUGGCUGAAUUUUGACUGUUUAUAAUUAAAGUGUGCUGAAUAAUAUUUAAUUUAUGAAGAUUGAAUGAAUAUUUUUAAAGUUAUAGUACAUGUGUAAAAACUGUGUUUCUCUGCCUGUGAUAAUUACACUAACCCAUUGUGUAAGGUAAUUGUAUCACAGGCAGAGGGGAGGAUUUUGUGUGGGAGUGUCUGAGUGCAUUGUACGUAUUGAUUGGUUGAACUUCAAAACCCCGUGGGCGGUACUAUGGUUGUAGAAUGGGCAUAAAAGCAGAGUGUUUGAAUAAAAGUUCAGUUCUACUUCACCAUCAAUUUUGAGUGCCGUCUCUUAUUGGGGGAACCUGCUACAAGGGAUUGCUAUGCUAGUCAUACUCUCUUGCUAUAUCACUACUAAGCUCUUGUAAGAGCUUGUUCCUGUUUUUGCUCUCUGAAGGAGUCUACGGUGGUUAUUGUGUCAGCUGCAGUGCUUGGAGCCCUCAGGAAGCGCUAGGAGCAUCCUUCAACAGAGGUACCCAGUCGGAGUGCCAGUUGAUCCAUUACAUUGGUGGGAUGGCGUCCUAGGGCGAGGACCAGCAGCUUGGAGACACCGGUAACGUGUGAAGUUAUGGAUUUAUAAUUGAGGGCAACACUAGCACUUGUGCAGUGCCCCUGUCUAUAGAGGAACUCAAGAGAAUGGAGUGACCUAGCGACCAAGCAGCAUCCCCGUGUGAAGAAGAGUUUCUCUGGAGAUUGCAGCAACACUUGGCGAACAGUGGUUCCAGGUACUGGUGGCCCUGCAGUCACCUUUCCUAGGGGAGCAACCCCUGGAUUAGUGGGUAAUGGAACUGUGGGACCUGAUUUGGAAGGAGUUGUGGCUGGAUGGAGCUUACCGGGCACUAAAGUGGUACGCCAGCCAGCGCAACCCCUGGAUUACUAACCACUAUCUGUCAGAAGGAGAGGAUUAUAAUGGCCCGGGCUUACUGUGGGAGGCCUUUGAGGAGGGCAAUGACUGGAUGCCCUGCAGAAUGUCGGCUCUGGGACAUCCACGACAUCAGGGAAACUCUGCUGGAUCUUCCCCAAGUGGACGACCUGGGGCCAGACCUGAGUCACCUGGUCACAAUGGAGUGGGAGCUAGAGCAGAGCUACCAACAUCUGUUCAGCUUAGCACAGCAACCAUAUACUACCAGGAGUAGGGACAGUCGGUCCUGCUCCCCAGCGGCAGUAUACCUUGCAGGGAGAGGAGACAACCGGUCUCCCUCCCCAGCGGCGGCCUGAGUUCCAGGAGGAGGUGAUGGUCGAUCCCUCCACCUUACAGCAACCAGCGUCCUGGGCAGUGGGGGCAACCGGCCUCCCCCUCCAACAGCAGCCGGAGAUACCGGGAGAGGGGGAAGACAAUCUUAACCACACUGGUGCAGAUGGGACCGCGGUCUCUGUGCCAGUCCUACAUGCUGGACGGGCUGUCCAGAUCCCCAACCAACCCCACAAGGAUGCCAGGAGGAGAAGGUAAGCGAAACUUCCCCUCCCCAGCUACAUCCCAACCGGGUCCUGGGGGCAGUGGAUGAGCCUGCGAUACCAUUGACCCCUUCCCAGCAGCAGAGCUGGCAUCUGGGCAGAGCGCUGUUAGCCUUUGCCCUCCCUUUUCCCCUGGUCCAGAGCCUGACUUACCACGGGUUACCCCAGCGGAAGAGGCUGCUGGCCUCUGCCCCCCAAGCAACACCAGCAGUUUGCCUAGCUGCACCAGAGAGACCGAAAGUGCUGCACUGUCCCACUAUAAACUUGAACCUACAGGCCAGUACCAUAACCUAGGUACUGACCGGCAGAAGGUCAGGUACCUGUUUAGUCUCUCCCCCCCCCCCCAGGGAAGAUGUGUGACGAAGUACCCUUCGCCACUUGUGCCUGGAGGGGACUACUGGCUAGCCUCCUGCCUUCCGACUAUGGUCCCUGUGCUGAUAGCUGUAUUUUACCCUGCAGAAAGGUUUAUGUGUGUUUUUCUGCUGGGGCGUUCAGGACUUUCAGUAUGUGAGUAGUGCUACCCCAAAUAGCUAUGCCAUGUUUGUAUUGUCUGUGAUUGGCUAAUAUCCAAUAUGUGUCCCAUUGUUCCAUCAGGUCCCCUAGGGGAGUGUCCACCUAGUGUACACUUGCAUAAAUACAGGGCAGGUAGCCCUCAAUAAACCAGACCAACUUGCACCUUUCUUGAAGCCUUGGCUCAUGCUUGGGGGAAGGGAUACCUACACUCUGGGGAUUGCUAUAAUCACUUACUCCCCAGAGUAAGCUCUUGUAAGAGCUUGAUUUGUUCCUGCUACGCUCUCUGGAUUUAGGAGAGGUUCACCCACUGGGAGCUGGAUCAUGGUCGUGGAUCCAGGGUGGGUGAGAGACGGCGAGACCCCAGCGCAGCUGCCUCGCUGGAAGUGGGGUCCACUGUGCUGAUGGUGUCGGUCGGAGUACUUGGAGUCCUCGGCAAGCGCUAGGAGCAUCGAUUGGCGGAGGCACUCGUCAGAGUGCCAGCGGUCCGUCACAUGUGAAAACCAAUAAAGUCCUGGCACGAUCAAAAUGGAGAAUAAAGAAAUCAGAUUGACCAUGUAAUCUGCCCCUGCUGUCAGUGAAAGAUAAUCUAUUUGGGAAUAGUUCUAAAAUAAAAAUGAUUUUUGAGCUUGCUAAAUUUGGUGUGGUUUUCCACAAAACGUCAUACUUAUAGAAACUCCUCGCGUAAAAUCUGUAAGAAGUUUAUAUAUUAAAAACUUGCAGCUACUUGAAGCUGAACUCCAACGGGUCAGUUAAGGACAUACUGUAUGUUUCAGUAGAAAAUAGUUUCCAGAUAGGUGGCAUGUCUUUCAAGGAAUUGCUUGGAUCAUCCUUAAGUGAUCUGUAAACUCCUUCUUCCCCACUUCCUACCUCUUAUGCCAGUCUUGUGAAGGGUUAUGCAAUUAGGGACCCUAUGGUUCCAGAAUUUCGACUAAGACUGGAGCAGUCAGUUUUUCUCCAUGUUGUAGGAUUUGCGCUAUUUUUAACUAUACAAGUUUUCCCUAACACUCAAAUAGCAGCUGCUGCUAGUGAUAUAACCUAUAAUAUUAACGCCAAGGAGAGCAGCUUUUUAACAUAUUUGUAUUUAAAGCAGUAAUUAAAUCCGAUGUGUAUCCUUGACUACAUGCAGUGUAACUUUCCCUGAAUCCCAAGUUGUCCAUGUUGGUUUAUGUGCUGUAGGAAAAUCUGAAAUACUUUGCCUUCCUUUUAGAUCAAUAACACCCUCUUAAAUAGUCCCACAUGGGUAAGCAGAUGGGAUCAUGACUAAUUUGCACCAAUCUGAAACAGGCGUGUAUUUUCUGGCUGUGCCAUAAGUGAUUUCAUUUGAUCUUUUUAGUUUACACGAUGUGGUACAUGUGGCAUCUCACUCAGGAGUAAACCUAUUUUCAUUCAAUUUAAAUUUCUUUUUUUUUUUUACUAUUUUGUUACUAAGCUAGUAUUUAUUCAAGUAUCCUUUGGCAGCAGGGGCUUCAUAAAUUUAACUGACUCAAUGUAUCUUUCCUGGUAAAAUAUUUUAUAAAAUAAUAAUAUAGAUACAUUCCAAAUGAUACCAGCUAGAACAGGCAGUGUUUGGUUGAGAGAAUAACUGAUUAAUCACCUGACGUGGUUAUGGUGCAUAGUGUCCCUUUAACAUUUAGCAAUUUGCACCCACAAAAACACCUGUCCCACCUUGACAGAUGUCCCUAAAUAUGUUUGGGUUUUUUCCCCUGAAGGAUGUAUGGAGAGAUUACAGAUAUUAACUUGACAUUUCCAACUUCCAACUAACCAAGGCAAAUUUUAAUUUUGUUAAGAUAACAGCAGCUGGUAAAAUUCAGUGUGCAGCCAAUUCUCCUAUUAUUCUCUAUGGGAGAUGUUAAACGCUUAGUUUGCAUUGUUGUUGGUAAGAAUUGCAGUUGUAAAAGAUUUUUGAGUUGAGAGGAGAUGGGUCGAGUUCAGGUCCCUGAUGGUGGGCUCUGACAUGCCCCAGUUCGUAAUGUGGGUCCCUAGAGAACACAGACCUGAGAUACGGGCGACCUGCCCAGCGAUUUUCUCAACUCUCUACGUAUUUGGGACGCGACUAAUGCGAAGUACGGGCUGGCCUCGUCGCCCUCCCCCUUGACUCCGCUCUUUCGAAACAGUGAAUUCGCCCCCUGGCAAAUCCUCUGUAGGCCGUAACAUAGAGAGAACCGGCCUACAGAGGAUUUGCCACUUGUACCAGAACGGAGCAGUAGUGAGUUUUGAGGAGCUUAAACAAGGUCAACAUUUAAAGCUGGCCGACUUUUUCCAAUAUAUCCAGCUUCGGGAUUUUGAACGGCAGUGCUCGGUGGACGCGGCACCCAGGGGACUAAUAACAAUACUGUACUCCCACCUCUGUGCUGAGCAUACGGAAUGGGGUAGGCUGAGAUAUAUGGACCAGUGGGAAGCAGACCUCGGUGAGGUGCUGGAAGGCAUCGAAUGGCCGGAAAUAUGGGAAGCAAACAAAAACGCUUUGAUAUGUGUAACACUUCAGGAGCAGACGUGGAAGACCAUGUUUAGUUGGUAUACUACGCCUGUGAAGCUGUUUAGGAUGCGAAAAACAGAUAUGGAUAACUGCUGGAGGGGAUACGGAGCUAGAGGAACAUAUCUUCACAUGUGGUGGGAAUGCCCGACUAUAGUCGGCUUCUGGAAAUCAGUAGAGAAUUUAAUGAAACAGAUUUUUGACAGGCCCCUUGACUUAGACCCAUGGGUGUACCUCCUAAACAGAUCGCUGGAGGGAUGGACCAGAAGAGAACAGAAAUUGGUGCAUAAAAUUACUUUAAGCGCAAGACGAAUAAUUGCGGCCAAAUGGCUGCAGCCGGAAGGCCCAAGGUUUUCAGGAGUGAUCUCUAAGAUUAGAGAAAGCAAACUAAUGGAUGAUCCGACAGCCAGAGUACAGGGGACCAUAGUAUCUUUUCAGAGAAUAUGGGAACCAUGGGACAAUAGCAUAAUGUGUACGGGAGGAAUCUGAGGGCGACCUUUAAGAGAUGAGACAAUUUGACAGAACCAUUGAUUGUUCCUUGUGGAGCCUGCUGGUAGAGGGUGAUGGCGGGGCUCACUAUCUGCUUUCCCCCCCCCCCACACCCUUCUUGCUUCUUCUUUUUUCUCCUAUAUUUUUCCUCUUCUUUCUUCCUUCUCUCUCUCUCUCUCUCUCUUAUUCUACCCUUGCUAUCCAAGGGAAUAGUUUAUAUUCAGGACGGUUAUGAUCAAAAUGGGAAGGCUGUGUCCAUAGAGAUUCUGGAUGAAACGUAUUUUGAGUUAUGGUUUUCUACAUGUUACUUGGCGCCUGACCAAAAUGUAAAAAUACCCUGUGGACAACAGGGAUUAAUAUUCUGCCAAAAGCAAGUUGGUAAUAUCCGAUUAUUUCAUCACUACAGAAGGUUUUGAUAUGUGAUUUGUACUGAUGGCUUCUGCGCAAGCCAGCUUGUCAUAUGUAUCCUGCUGUACAAGCCGUGUGAAAAAAUUUAAGAAUUAAAAAAAAUAAUAAUUAAAUAAUAAAAAAGGAUUUUCAAGUACGGACAGGAUUGCUAGUCGCUAAUGUUCGCAACACCAAUUUUAACAAUUAGUUAGCUUGUUGGUAAAUUUUACAGACCGCACUGGAAACAAGUCUUUCGCAAGCACCAUCAUGCAUAAAUUAAAAAUAUACCUACCUGAAGGUGACCUUGUCAUGCACACAUUUUGUGUAUGACACCUGUACAAAUUUUCAGUCUAAAGGAAACAAGAAUAUAUAUAAAAUGUUUAACAAAUUAGCAGUAGCCACCAUUCCGCUUAAAGUUGCAUAGCUGCAUAUGGUUAUUGUGCACAGACUGGAGAUAAUUUCACAUUACCCAGAACCUUCUGUGUAUUACUUGAAGUUUCCUGUAGCAUUGCCUCUCCUCCUGUUUAUGUGCAAGAGUACGCUCACAGAGGGCUUUUUACACUGCUCAUUUCCAUGGCCAAUGGUAUUUUUGGAACAUAAAGUUUGUUUAUUUUUAAAUCCUCUUGGCGUAGAUGUGUUUCUAAACUUUUCCACAGAACUUUUGUUUCUAAGUAGAUUAAGAUAUAUUUUAUGAGGGUAAUACAUGCACUCUUUUUAAUAGCUAUGCAUCUUGUUUCCGUUACUUUACCCUUUGUGUGCGUUUUUAAUACUGCAGUCAUAUUUCCAUAAUACUGAAUAGGUUCAGUUUUUGUGUAAAUACUUUCAGUAAUUCUUAAAUACUCUAGUCAUAAAUUACUAAACUGGAAUUGCAAAGAGUUACAAAUACAUUGUUUAAGGAUCAUUAUAGUGUCCCCCCCACCCUCAGCACCCCCUCCAUUGGUACUGAAGAGGUUAAAACCCCUUCAGCUACUUUAAUCCAGCGCCGGGCUCCCUCGGUGCUGGUGACCUCUCCUACCCCGCCGACUUCAGCUCCCUAGUGGAGCGGAAUGCGCAUGCGCGACAAGAGCCACACACGCAUUCAAACAGUCCAUAGGAAAGCAUUUCUCAAUGCUUUCUUAUGGACUUUCUGCAGGCUGAAUGUGUCAUGAAGACAUUCACUAGAGGCUGGAUUAACCCUGCAAUGUAAACAUAGCAGCAGUUUCUCUGAAACUGCUAUGUUUACAUCUGAAGUGUUAAAACCUGGGGGAACUGGCACCCAGACCACUUUAUUGAGCUGAAGUGGUCUGGGUGACUAUAGUGUCCCUUUAAGUAGUGUAUCCUAAAGAUUUUAUUUUUUCAUUUAUUAUUAUUUAAAAAAAACAAAUCAAAUAGAGAGGAGUGGUGCUAGCUAACGGAAAAGCGCACACACAUACACUUGUAAUUUUAAAGGACCACUCUAGGCACCCAGACCACUUCAGCUUAAUGAGGUGGUCUGAGUGCCUGGUCCAUCUAGGAUUAACCCUUUUUUCUAUAAACGUAGCAGUUUCAGAGAAACUGCUAUGUUUAUGUUGGGGUUAAUCCAGCCUAUAGUUGCUGUCUCAUUGACAGCCGCUAGAGGGCUUCCGCGUUUCUCUCACCAGCAUUAUGAAUGCUUUCCUAUGGACUGGCUGCGCGCGGCUCCUGCCGCGCAUGCGCAUUCAACCGAAGAGGAGAAGGAGAGCUCCCCGCCCGGCGCUGGAGAAAGAGGCAAGUUUAACUCCUUCCUCCUCCCAGAGCCCGGCGGGAGGGGUUCCCUGAGGGUGGGGGCACCCUCAGGGCACUAUAGUGCCAGGAAAAAAGAGUAUGUUUUCCUGGCACUGUAGUGGUCCUUUAAACAUUUUUAUACCCAAACCCAACUAUUUUAUAUAUAUGUUUUAUAUAAUCGGACCAAGAAUUCCAUGUAUUUGUCUUUGUUGCAAACAUGUACUCGGUCAACUCAAAAUCAAGAAGUUUGAUUACCAAUGCAAUAGUUAGCAGACUUACAUUUGUUUUGCUUGUUGGUGCUUUCACUGCCUGGAAAAUCACAGCUGUUUCCUCUUCUUUUUUUUUUUUUUUUUAUUUAUUUUAUUUUUAGGUUUAAUAUCCGGAACUGGGAUAACAUCAGCCUGCAAUGCUAAAUCUUUAAACAGACGGGUGAGGGGAUACAAGAUCAUCAUGGCAGACUGUAAAACCUUUUGGCUUUUGCCACUAGCGUUCUUGCUUAUCUGUUCCCGCGUAACGACACACUCAGAAGAUCUUUCAAACCAUACCUCGAACUCAACAGAGGCAAUGUUGGAAUGUUUACCUGUGAUCACAUUGAGAGUAGAUCACAUCAUUGUAAAGGAGGGGAGCAGCGUGGUAAUCCAGUGCAAUAUCCAGGGUCAUCCAGAUCCUCAUUUUCAAUGGUACAACUCUAAUGGACAUUUGCUUAAAGAAGAAACUGGUAAG